AUAGAUGUUCCACCGGGAACAAUGAGAUAGUAAUACUUUUCCAUUAGGUCAUAGAAGGAAGGGUGUUGCUAUCUUUUUUAUU
RNAcentral lists this non-coding RNA (82 nucleotides) under unclassified sequences. The record is from RNAcentral.